This 81-nucleotide microRNA precursor is filed under the name Ascaris suum (pig roundworm). RNAcentral's name for it is "microRNA asu-mir-184 precursor". Its record names the gene asu-mir-184. Lineage: Eukaryota; Metazoa; Nematoda; Chromadorea; Rhabditida; Ascarididae. The record is from miRBase by way of RNAcentral.
UGAUUUUGAGUGCUUAUCAGCUGCCAGCCCUGUUGCAACUUGAAACUGGACGGAAGACUGAUAAGAGCCUCAAUUUUGCCC